CUCCCAACUGGAUACAUACUUCAAUUAUUGGAAGAUUCCUUUCGGUGAAAUCUGCAGAAAAAUGGCGCUGAUGAGAGGAGAGCCGCUGGUGAGGAAACUCGCUCUGUUCGCCAAGUACGCUGUUCUGCCGGCAGCCAUGGCCGCUGCUCUCGUUUACUCUCCUCCCGAUUACGUUUAUUACAAGAAUGACGAUAAGUCAUCCAAAUAGGACACUUUCCCCCACCUGUUCGGUUCGUCUCGAUCUGUCAUCCCUUAGGGACCGUCUGAUCAUGUAGGCUUGCAUUUGCAGAGUUGUAUUCCUCUUAUGUUGAUAAUGGUGUGUACUGGACUUAUUAUCAUCAUCUCUCAAUAACUCGUAGUUUGUUUUACUUUUGUGGCUUCAUCUUCGGAGAAAAAAAAAUAAUAAUUUGUUUCCUUGAAGAAUAUUCAAAAUGGGAAGUAUAAAUUUCCUGUUCUUAUC
Cucurbita pepo subsp. pepo (vegetable marrow) is the source of this 460-nucleotide non-coding RNA. NCBI's taxonomy places the organism in Eukaryota, Viridiplantae, Streptophyta, Magnoliopsida, Cucurbitales, Cucurbitaceae. The record is from RefSeq and is a predicted model, not a curated record.